CUCCCAUGAUGAUCCAGCCAUGCUAAUACUGAUGCAUCAGGCAGAUGCAGUUCAUCUGUCGGGGUGCAAGUGCGUUCUACUGAACUUCUCACGCUGAUGGUUUCAGUGUGUGCUGAGGAGA
Hippocampus comes (tiger tail seahorse) is the source of this 121-nucleotide small nucleolar RNA. NCBI's taxonomy places the organism in Eukaryota, Metazoa, Chordata, Actinopteri, Syngnathiformes, Syngnathidae. The record is from Ensembl.